This 467-nucleotide ribosomal RNA is filed under the name uncultured bacterium. Its description in RNAcentral is "partial 16S ribosomal RNA". It matches the Rfam family "Bacterial small subunit ribosomal RNA", at positions 28 to 506 of the family's 1533-position model. The record is from RNAcentral.
GACGAACGCUGGCGGCGUGCUUAACACAUGCAAGUCGAACGGAAAGGCCCUGCUUUUGUGGGGUGCUCGAGUGGCGAACGGGUGAGUAACACGUGAGUAACCUGCCCUUGACUUUGGGAUAACUUCAGGAAACUGGGGCUAAUACCGGAUAGGAGCUCCUGCUGCAUGGUGGGGGUUGGAAAGUUUCGGCGGUUGGGGAUGGACUCGCGGCUUAUCAGCUUGUUGGUGGGGUAGUGGCUUACCAAGGCUUUGACGGGUAGCCGGCCUGAGAGGGUGACCGGCCACAUUGGGACUGAGAUACGGCCCAGACUCCUACGGGAGGCAGCAGUGGGGAAUAUGGCACAAUGGGCGGAAGCCUGAUGCAGCAACGCCGCGUGCGGGAUGACGGCCUUCGGGUUGUAAACCGCUUUCGCCUGUGACGAAGCGUGAGUGACGGUAAUGGGGAAAGGAGCACCGGCUAACUACGU